Molecule: ribosomal RNA, 254 nt
Filed under: uncultured bacterium
Lineage: Bacteria
Description: partial 16S ribosomal RNA
Rfam family: Bacterial small subunit ribosomal RNA
Source: RNAcentral
UACGAAGGGGGCUAGCGUUGCUCGGAAUCACUGGGCGUAAAGGGUGCGUAGGCGGGUCUUUUAAGUCAGGGGUGAAAUCCUGGAGCUCAACUCCAGAACUGCCUUUGAUACUGAGGAUCUUGAGUUCGGGAGAGGUGAGUGGAACUGCGAGUGUAGAGGUGAAAUUCGUAGAUAUUCGCAAGAACACCAGUGGCGAAGGCGGCUCACUGGCCCGAUACUGACGCUGAGGCACGAAAGCGUGGGUAGCAAACAGG